ACACAUGCAAGUCGAGGGGCAGCAUGGUCUUAGCUUGCUAAGGCCGAUGGCGACCGGCGCACGGGUGAGUAACACGUAUCCAACCUGCCGUCUACUCUUGGACAGCCUUCUGAAAGGAAGAUUAAUACAAGAUGGCAUCAUGAGUCCGCAUGUUCACAUGAUUAAAGGUAUUCCGGUAGACGAUGGGGAUGCGUUCCAUUAGAUAGUAGGCGGGGUAACGGCCCACCUAGUCUUCGAUGGAUAGGGGUUCUGAGAGGAAGGUCCCCCACAUUGGAACUGAGACACGGUCCAAACUCCUACGGGAGGCAGCAGUGAGGAAUAUUGGUCAAUGGGCGCAGGCCUGAACCAGCCAAGUAGCGUGAAGGAUGACUGCCCUAUGGGUUGUAAACUUCUUUUAUAAAGGAAUAAAGUCGGGUAUGUAUACCCGUUUGCAUGUACUUUAUGAAUAAGGAUCGGCUAACUCCGUGCCAGCAGCCGCGGUAGUACGGAGGAUCCGAGCGUUAUCCGGAUUUAUUGGGUUUAAAGGGAGCGUAGAUGGAUGUUUAAGUCAGUUGUGAAAGUUUGCGGCUCAACCGUAAAAUUGCAGUUGAUACUGGAUAUCUUGAGUGCAGUUGAGGCAGGCGGAAUUCGUGGUGUAGCGGUGAAAUGCUUAGAUAUCACGAAGAACUCCGAUUGCGAAGGCAGCCUGCUAAGCUGCAACUGACAUUGAGGCUCGAAAGUGUGGGUAUCAAACAGGAUUAGAUACCCUGGUAGUCCACACGGUAAACGAUGAAUACUCGCUGUUUGCGAUAUACAGCAAGCGGCCAAGCGAAAGCGUUAAGUAUUCCACCUGGGGAGUACGCCGGCAACGGUGAAACUCAAAGGAAUUGACGGGGGCCCGCACAAGCGGAGGAACAUGUGGUUUAAUUCGAUGAUACGCGAGGAACCUUACCCGGGCUUAAAUUGCAGAUGAAUUAC
RNAcentral lists this ribosomal RNA (957 nucleotides) under uncultured bacterium. Its description in RNAcentral is "bacterial SSU rRNA". It matches the Rfam family "Bacterial small subunit ribosomal RNA", at positions 51 to 1000 of the family's 1533-position model. The record is from RNAcentral.